GAGAAACUUUGCGAAUGUGCGAAAGCACGACAAGGUUAAUCCGAGUGGUUUCUGCUAAAGGAACCUUUUGUCGGUCCUAGAAACACCGAUGAAUAAGGGGUGGGCAAGUUCUGGUGUCAGCCGCCGCGGUAAAACCAGCACCUCAAGUGGUCAGGAUGAUUAUUGGGCCUAAAGCAUCCGUAGCCGGCUCUGUAAGUUUUCGGUUAAAUCUGUACGCUCAACGUACAGGCUGCCGGGAAUACUGCAGAGUCUAGGGGAGUGGGAGAGGUAGACGGUACUCGGUAGGAGGGGGUAAAAGUCCUUUGAUCUAUUGAUGACCACCUGUGGCGAAGGCGGUCUACCA
This 343-nucleotide ribosomal RNA is filed under the name uncultured Nitrososphaerota archaeon. RNAcentral's name for it is "bacterial SSU rRNA". It matches the Rfam family "Archaeal small subunit ribosomal RNA", at positions 342 to 682 of the family's 1478-position model. The record is from RNAcentral. Lineage: Archaea; Thermoproteati; Nitrososphaerota.